AUGUUUUAUUGCCGCCGCGGCUGCGGCCGGGCCGGGAGGAUGUGUGCGUGCGUGCGUGUGUGUGAGUGUGUGUGCGCGCGCCCCGGGGGCAGGGAGGCGGGGGGCGGCGGCGGGCGGCGGAGAGCGGGGGCCGGUUCCUGGUCCCCGGGAGAAGCCAAGAAGGCAACUAAUCAUAAACCUGGAAUUCUAAGGCGAACAUGCAUAAGACACGGUGAGCAAACCAAGAUGUUCUCUGGGCAUGACUUGAACAAGCCAGGAUCAGUGAGAACGGGAGUAAUCAGUGGGAGGAAAGGACUGGAGGAAUAGAACAGAGGACCUGUCAGGAGGCUGGCUCAAUAGACCAGGUGACAAGGAAGGAAGGAUGAAAGUCUGAGGACCCUGACACAAGGUGAGUGAUGGAGGAAGGCUGAGGAUGAAAAAUGAAUGAGACCUGUUUGUUGACUGACAUAGAGGUCAGGAUGAAGCCCACAUUACUAGGUUUCUAGGCCACGUGACAGGGUGAAUGGUGACUGCAGAAUAACCCCAGAGACAGAGCAGCAAUUUAAAACAGGAUUUCAGACAGAUGGAGAGAGAGAGAAAAGUGGACUUUCAUUUGAUGCAUUCUGUUUUUUUCCAUGUUUGAAAAGAAAAGGAUAAAUGCAUCUAUUCCUUGGAGUUACUAAUUAAUUAGUAUAUAUGAAAGCACCUAGGACAUGCCAGUCACAUAGUACCUUCCCAAUAAAUGCUAAUUCCAUCCAUUCAUCUAUUUAUUAUUUAUAUCAGUUUGCAAGUUUGGAGAGAAAUAAUUAGUUUAAUUAGGACCAUAUCAAACAUUACAAACUCAUUCUGAGUAAAGACAUCUUUAGCCAAGGGGCUCUCUGUAGGCUCAGAUCACUUCCAGCCACUUGAUUGGACCAUAGUUCAAGGCCAGAAAUUUGUUUUCACAAACAUCAGGACUUUUUUUCUCUCUUCCUUUCAUUACCAACCCCCUGCCCCUGCUGCCAUCCUUUUCUAGGUCUCUCAUGUAGUAACUGCCAAAAAAUAAAGUGCACAAACAUUAUGUGAAAAGCAUAUAUAUAUGUGUGUGUGUGUGUGUGUGUGUGUGUGUGUGUGUGUGUAUAUAUAUAUAUGAAGUCCCACUCGGUUGCCAGGCUGGAGUGCAGUGGCGUGAUCUCAGCUUACUGAAACCUCCGUCUCCCAAGUUCAAGAGAUUCUCCUGCCUCAGUCUCCCAAGUAGCUGGGACUACAGGCGCACGCCACCAUGCCCAGCUAAGUUUUAUAUUUUUAUUAGAGACGAGGUUUCACCAUGUUAGCCAGGAUGGUCUCAAUCUCUUGACCUUGUCAUCCACCUGCCUCUGCCUCCCAAAGUGCUGCGAUUACAGGCAUGAGCCACCUCGCCCAGCUGUGAAAAGCAUAAUUAAUUGAACUCAUGAGUUUAUUCAGUUGACUCUUCUGAGGACAUACCUGUGCCAGGCCGUUGUACAUAGAUGUGGGAGAGACUGUGGCAUCCUCCUCUUCUCCAUAAUCGGACAGUACUGUUAGCACUGAGGCUCACAGAGUUGCCUUGCCUUGGGAGAUGCAGGCUCCAGUGAGAGUGCCCCAUGGAGCCUGGCCUCAGUUGCAAGCCUUCAAGGUGAUGAGCAACGCCAGGCACUCUUGCUCAGGC
Molecule: long non-coding RNA, 1645 nt
Organism: Callithrix jacchus (white-tufted-ear marmoset)
Lineage: Eukaryota; Metazoa; Chordata; Mammalia; Primates; Cebidae
Source: Ensembl